Nanorana parkeri is the source of this 203-nucleotide long non-coding RNA. RefSeq lists it as uncharacterized. The record is from RefSeq and is a predicted model, not a curated record. NCBI's taxonomy places the organism in Eukaryota, Metazoa, Chordata, Amphibia, Anura, Dicroglossidae. The transcript has 3 exons.
GCAUCAGAGGAAGGUGGUGAAAAUUAUAGUAAUGGUUCAAGUGAAAGCAAUGCAAGAGAGAAGGAAGACAAAUCCUCAACGAUAUUCCGCUCAUUAUUCCUCAAGGGCAAAGAGCAGAAAGGAAAGACAGACAGCCUGAAAAACGAAGGGAAAGGCAACACACCAGCGAAGAAGCUUGCCAAGGAAGAGAAGAUUUUCCGGGA